UACGUAGGGUCCGAGCGUUGUCCGGAUUCAUUGGGCGUAAAGAGCUCGUAGGCGGUUUGUCGCGUCUGCUGUGAAAACCUGAGGCUCAACCUCGGGCUUGCAGUGGGUACGGGCAGACUAGAGUGCGGUAGGGGUGACUGGAAUUCCUGGUGUAGCGGUGGAAUGCGCAGAUAUCAGGAGGAACACCGAUGGCGGAGGCAGGUCACUGGGCCGCAACUGACGCUGAGGAGCGAAAGCAUGGGGAGCGAACAGG
RNAcentral lists this ribosomal RNA (253 nucleotides) under uncultured bacterium. Its description in RNAcentral is "partial 16S ribosomal RNA". It matches the Rfam family "Bacterial small subunit ribosomal RNA", at positions 524 to 776 of the family's 1533-position model. The record is from RNAcentral.